This 142-nucleotide small RNA is filed under the name Cupriavidus sp. USMAA2-4. RNAcentral's name for it is "sbcD RNA". It matches the Rfam family "sbcD RNA". Lineage: Bacteria; Pseudomonadati; Pseudomonadota; Betaproteobacteria; Burkholderiales; Burkholderiaceae. The record is from Rfam by way of RNAcentral.
CCUGCGGAGGACGAUUGUCCGAAAUGGGUUGUUGUGCAGCGUGACCAUGCUGCGCGAGGAUGCCUUGACAUCCUCACUUGAGCCGCGCCUUGCGCCGCUCCCUGAGUGCCACGCCCCCGGAAGGGGCGUGGCAUCCAGGUCU